GUGUUUGAAUACAUAACUUUCCAUUUCUCUCUCGUCAUAAACAAAACAGUUUCUUCUUUAAUUUCCCUCUUUGUUUCAGAGAACCAAAGUAGCCGAGAUUGAAGAAUUGUGGUUGCUGGAGUGCAUGUGUGCUGCAAGCGAAGAACCCGAUGUGAAAAGGUUAAUACAUACCACAAAUCCAAGAGAAUCAAAAUCCAUAAAUGAGGCUCAAGAUCCGGAUGAGGUAGAUUUUUUUUUUGCGUAACACAACGUUUGAGAAGAUCAUAUCACAAGCCAAAAAUCCAUUAGUCUCAAGUAGUUUUGGGAAGUUCGUCAUUGUCUGCGUGCUUAGAGUCAGAGCCGGCUUGCAAUGAUUCUGAAUCAACCACACACCCCGGUGGUCGUUAGAUACUGUGUAAACCCAGCACAUGUCAAAGUGCUAGAUGAGGAAUCAAAGGCUGAGGUGAUCUCCAUGAUUGAGGAUAGGUACACACUCCCCACAAGACCUGGCUCGUAUUAGAGAAUAUAAGAAACAAAAAGAGAAGGAGGCCAAAGAGAAGAAAGAGAAAGAGACAGCCAACCGAUGAAACCCGAUCUACCCAACAUAGAUAAAUGUUGAUGUGUUUGUCUACUUUAAUGUUUUUACCCCUUAAACCUGUAUCCCCAAGUGUUUUCCAUAGCUAAUUGAAUGCUCUCUCCAGAUAAUUUAAUGUAUUAUUGGUGUU
Long non-coding RNA from Brassica oleracea var. oleracea, 704 nucleotides. RefSeq lists it as uncharacterized. Lineage: Eukaryota; Viridiplantae; Streptophyta; Magnoliopsida; Brassicales; Brassicaceae. The record is from RefSeq and is a predicted model, not a curated record. The transcript has 2 exons.